Long non-coding RNA from Paramormyrops kingsleyae, 1224 nucleotides. RefSeq lists it as uncharacterized. The record is from RefSeq and is a predicted model, not a curated record. NCBI's taxonomy places the organism in Eukaryota, Metazoa, Chordata, Actinopteri, Osteoglossiformes, Mormyridae.
CCCAUUUUGCCACGCCGUUAGUCUGCGGUCCACGCCUUUCCCGGGGGCCUCACCCAAGGGCGAGUCACCUAGUGGAGGAGAUCGGCUGUGGUCAAAGCUUGGAGAGGAGAUGGACACCACCAGGCGACAAUUGCCCAAGAUACACCCAUGAUGCACGAAAUCAACUAUUCCAUACCGGCUCCCGCAUCAUUGCUUCUGCUGUCUUCUCUCUGAGCCGCCGGAGGUUGUUGCGCACUUCUUGAGCCUGGUGCGCGUUGCCGGGCAGGGACAUUUCCUUCAGGAGGUCCCUGCUCCGGUAAACGAGGGCAUGGGCAGCUGAAUCCUCCCAGACCUCGGGCUGCCGCAGCCAGUAGAGCAUCUCAUCGGUGAGCUCGAGGUACUCUUCAUCAGUGAGGGCGGAAGCCUUUUCCUCACCGGCUUUAGGCUUCUUCUGUGGGAGGUCUGUCAUGAACGAUCGCGGUGCACGGAACUGGGAAGCAGGAGAGGAAGACAAAGGAUCGGGUAACACGGAUUUUAUCGGGAGACGGCGCAGGGACAUGUAACAAACCAAGGAACGCGCAACACCACACCAUCAGACUACUGGACUUCAAUGACAGACCUAGAGAAACAGACUCUAACAUGGACUAAAAUACACAGGACUCGAUGGAAAAACAGGAAACAGUGGACAUAACAAGUUUGAUUCCACACGAGGUUAACGAGGGGGCGUGGCACACAGGAGGAUCGGAUAAGCAGGACAUGACAAUACUUCAACGUUGAAACAAUAACACAAUGCUAUCUGGGUUACAAAGCUUUUCCGCUUGCCACUUUCUUCGUUUGUUGUGUCUUUGCUCGCAGGUCUCGAAGUGAAUGUCUACCAGCCAGGGGCACGUUUUCCUGCUUUUGGGAAAGGCACCCUGAGGAGGGAGUUUAGAGUAAGCCAUUUUAAUGGAGGUAGGGGUUCUGUAGGUAAAAACUGUCUGAGGAAAAAAUAUAUGUAUAUAUAAAAUUUGUGUGCGUGUAUGUGUGUGUUUGUGAUGAGGUAUAGUCAUUGUAUGUGUUUUUUUAAUACAGUGCUAAAUGGUAAAAUACAUGGUGUUACAUAACAUCUUUUUAAUUUACUGCAACAACAUUGAUUGAACCUUUUUAUUGCAAUAAUUUUAUGAUAUUCACGGUAUGUAUUGUUUUUUUAUGCAGACACUGAAAUAAAGCAUGGGCAGAAGCAUCUGCCUUUGCGUUUACACUGCC